GAUGAACGCUGGCGGCGUGCUUAACACAUGCAAGUCGAACGAAGCUGUUAUUUGGAGACCUUCGGGUGGAAGAAUAACAGACUGAGUGGCGGACGGGUGAGUAACGCGUGGGUAACCUACCUUGCACAGGGGGACAACAGUUGGAAACGACUGCUAAUACCGCAUAAGACCACAGUACCGCAUGGUACAGGGGUAAAAACUGAGGUGGUGCAAGAUGGACCCGCGUCUGAUUAGCUAGUUGGUGGGGUAAAGGCCUACCAAGGCGACGAUCAGUAGCCGACCUGAGAGGGUGAUCGGCCACAUUGGGACUGAGACACGGCCCAAACUCCUACGGGAGGCAGCAGUGGGGAAUAUUGGACAAUGGGGGGAACCCUGAUCCAGCGACGCCGCGUGAGUGAAGAAGUAUUUCGGUAUGUAAAGCUCUAUCAGCAGGGAAGAAAAUGACGGUACCUGACUAAGAAGCCCCGGCUAACUACGUGCCAGCAGCCGCGGUAAUACGUAGGGGGCAAGCGUUAUCCGGAUUUACUGGGUGUAAAGGGAGCGCAGACGGCUUGGCAAGUCUGAAGUGAAAGCCCGGGGCUUAACCCCGGGACUGCUUUGGAAACUGUGAAGCUAGAGUGUCGGAGAGGUAAGUGGAAUUCCCAGUGUAGCGGUGAAAUGCGUAGAUAUUGGGAGGAACACCGGUGGCGAAAGCGGCUUACUGGACGAUAACUGACGUUGAGGCUCGAAGGCGUGGGGAGCAAACAGG
RNAcentral lists this ribosomal RNA (748 nucleotides) under uncultured Lachnospiraceae bacterium. Its description in RNAcentral is "bacterial SSU rRNA". It matches the Rfam family "Bacterial small subunit ribosomal RNA", at positions 28 to 776 of the family's 1533-position model. Lineage: Bacteria; Bacillati; Bacillota; Clostridia; Lachnospirales; Lachnospiraceae. The record is from RNAcentral.